RNAcentral lists this non-coding RNA (31 nucleotides) under Homo sapiens (human). Lineage: Eukaryota; Metazoa; Chordata; Mammalia; Primates; Hominidae. The record is from RNAcentral.
UCCAGGUCCUGUCUGGGCCAAUCUGGGAAGA